Gambusia affinis (western mosquitofish) is the source of this 344-nucleotide long non-coding RNA. RefSeq lists it as uncharacterized. The record is from RefSeq and is a predicted model, not a curated record. NCBI's taxonomy places the organism in Eukaryota, Metazoa, Chordata, Actinopteri, Cyprinodontiformes, Poeciliidae. The transcript is spliced from 3 exons.
CCUGUUGUUCCAAACAACAAGUUGACCAAUCAAGUACCGAAGGUGAAGCUUUUCCAUCCGUUGAAUCUGAACUGUAUAAAAUGCGCUAAACGCGGCACGCUGCAUCAUUUGAGAAGACCUGCAGCAGCUGGAGCCUUUGAGAACCAACUGCUGCUUUAGCAAAACUGAUCAUCCAACAACCUGAAUAACAAUUUCUAACGUGGACGAGAACAAAGGAAAUGAUGAUGAUGAGGAACGUGCUUCUUCGUUUGCCAUUUGUUCUGCUCUGCAUGGCUGCUGUGUUUGAGGAGAUCAACGGAGGCCCAACUUAUGAAGACUUCAAAAAUAAUCACAUCGAGGGAAAC